CCAUCGCUCAACGGAUAAAAGGUACUCCGGGGAUAACAGGCUGAUACCGCCCAAGAGUUCAUAUCGACGGCGGUGUUUGGCACCUCGAUGUCGGCUCAUCACAUCCUGGGGCUGAAGUAGGUCCCAAGGGUAUGGCUGUUCGCCAUUUAAAGUGGUACGCGAGCUGGGUUUAGAACGUCGUGAGACAGUUCGGUCCCUAUCUGCCGUGGGCGCUGGAGAACUGAGGGGGGCUGCUCCUAGUACGAGAGGACCGGAGUGGACGCAUCACUGGUGUUCGGGUUGUCAUGCCAAUGGCACUGCCCGGUAGCUAAAUGCGGAAGAGAUAAGUGCUGAAAGCAUCUAAGCACGAAACUUGCCCCGAGAUGAGUUCUCCCUGACUCCUUGAGAGUCCUGAAGGAACGUUGAAGACGACGACGUUGAUAGGCCGGGUGUGUAAGCGCAGCGAUGCGUUGAGCUAACCGGUACUAAUGAACCGUGAGGCUUAACCUUACAACGCCGAAGCUGUU
Molecule: ribosomal RNA, 506 nt
Filed under: Escherichia coli
Lineage: Bacteria; Pseudomonadati; Pseudomonadota; Gammaproteobacteria; Enterobacterales; Enterobacteriaceae
Description: bacterial LSU rRNA
Rfam family: Bacterial large subunit ribosomal RNA
Source: RNAcentral